Molecule: ribosomal RNA, 481 nt
Filed under: uncultured bacterium
Lineage: Bacteria
Description: SSU rRNA
Rfam family: Bacterial small subunit ribosomal RNA
Source: RNAcentral
AGAAUGAACGCUGGCGGCGUGCUUAACACAUGCAAGUCGAACGGAAUCCAAGGAGCUUGCUCUGGAAGAUUUAGUGGCGAACGGGUGAGUAUCACGUGAGCAACCUGCCCCGAAGAUUGGGAUAACACCGGGAAACCGGUGCUAAUACCGAAUACCCUCCACAUGUCGCAUGACAAGUAGAGGAAAUGUUUUUCGCUUCGGGAGGGGCUCGCGGUCCAUCAGCUUGUUGGCGGGUAACGGCCCACCAAGGCUACGACGGAUAGCUGGUCUGAGAGGACGAUCAGCCACACUGGAACUGAGACACGGUCCAGACUCCUACGGGAGGCAGCAGUGGGGAAUCUUGCGCAAUGGACGAAAGCCUGACGCAGCGACGCCGCGUGGGGGAUGAAGGCCUCGGGUUGUAAACCCUUUCAGCAGGGACGAAGGCGAAAGUGACGGUACCUGCAGAAGAAGCGCCGGCUAACUACGUGCCAGCAGCCGC